Molecule: long non-coding RNA, 168 nt
Organism: Pocillopora verrucosa
Lineage: Eukaryota; Metazoa; Cnidaria; Anthozoa; Scleractinia; Pocilloporidae
Source: RefSeq, a predicted model, not a curated record
CGGAGAUGAAAACUGUUAUUGGAUAAGAGGAAUGGAAACUGAGAAUGGGAAACGAACAGAGAGAAGUAAAGAACUCGGCUAAACGUAUGAGCCCUGCAUGACAAGGAGGAAUUUCAAGACAUUUACAAAAAUUAUAAGAAUAUAUAUGAAUAAACUUUUGAGUUAAGA